Molecule: long non-coding RNA, 2761 nt
Organism: Neofelis nebulosa (Clouded leopard)
Lineage: Eukaryota; Metazoa; Chordata; Mammalia; Carnivora; Felidae
Exons: 2
Source: RefSeq, a predicted model, not a curated record
AAAAAAAGAAAUAAUCCAUUUAAAACUAAACUAUUACUUGAUGUUCUUCUGAUCCCUGUUGACACAAUUUCCUAUUUUUAUAUGCAUUGGCCCUAGUGGAUGGGAUGGAACCAUGUUACCCAAUCUCAAACACAGCUGUGCUUAUCAUUAGCCUCUCCAGUGGUCCUUUUCUCUCUCGCUGGUAGUCAGCACACCUGGCAUACACCUGCCACUGACUUUCUUUGUAACAAUUGAUCUGAGCAUGAUGAUUUUAUGCCUCGUAAAGGAAAAGAGCAGUCUUUUUAUUUUAAUAAAAAUAAAGAAAAAAAUUGAGUUGCUCCCAUAAGCAUUCUGCCCCCUAAAUAUAUUAUUCCUCUAUUGUCAAACAUUCUCUACACAAGCACAUUGUUAUGACACGUUGACACAUGUUCAAGAAAAAUUUGUUUCAUGAACUUUUGUUUCCAAGAAGAGCCAGACCAAAGUUUGUGCUUUGGCUAUAAAAUCCAUACAAAAAGUUAUCAUUUAAAGUUACCAUUUAAGUUACCAUUAAAGCUACAUCUAUGUGACUGAUGGAUUUAUAAGUAGCUUUUCUGUUAUGGCUCAAAUGAAUUUUGAGGAUUUUUUUUCUCCAUGUGGAUCUACACACAGACAUGACAGACAUGACAACUUUGAAUAAAUCCCUCCUGUUCCUGAAAGUGACAUUUCCCGGAGGCAUAGCCAUUACUCUCAUCUCGGGCUCUCCCACUUGGCCUUAAUAACCUUACGAAUCCUAAAUCCACACCACAAUUCUCAUCAUUUCUCCAUCAAUCUCCCUAUGGCUUCUUUAAUUCAUCCCUUUUCUCCAGUGGUUUAUAAAUUCACUGAUGACAAUGUUACAAAUAAGACAUGGCAAUCCCUAAAGGGUGGGCAGGUCUGGGGGUCCUAUCCAUUUUCUUCAUGGGUAAAAGCUUUCGGGUAAUUACUUGUUGAAGAAGCUCUUCAAAGUCACAGGGACAAGAAAGAUCUGGGGCCACAGACAGCUUGUUUAUCCACCGGACACGUGGUAAUCAAAGAAAAAUUAAAACAGCAGAGUCUAGAGGACAUAGCCAAUUGCAUACAUUACUUUAUGAAAACAUCAACUAAAACCUUGGUUGAUAUAAAAAGUGUUACUACUAAUUAGGGGGAAAACACAGCAGCUUAUAAUUACAGGCAAAGUUAAAAUAAUUCAUUUAUAUAAAGUAUUGUGACCAAACACCUGAGCUCAAAUAUUCUGUGAAUCCAUGGCUCAAGUAAAAAGGAGUUUAAUGCCUAGAGAUUAUGUAUUUGAGUCAUGAAGGCAAGAAUAAUUUAAGAAGAUAAAAAGCAGAUUAUGUGGCAAUGUUGGGCAUUCAAGUACCUGUUGAGGUUGUUAGGCAGAAUUGUAUUAGUUUGAACAACGGUGGCUUCAUGUUGAUGCAUGGUCAUCCUUUUGGCACUAGGGAAGCUAGCUAGAUUCAUUCAAUACAGUUAUGUGUUGCUAUCACAAAAAAAGGUAAUAGGUAGUGGAUUACUUCUGACAUUUUACCAAAUUUGAUAUUACAUUUUUCCAUUACUGGAAAAAACAAGCACAAAUGCAUUUGAAUACACAGGGUAUCUUGGCACUUUGGUGAUUCGUACAGGAAAUUUUAUAUGACUUUAUCAGCUAAUAAGAAAGAAACUGGUCUUCAAAAAAAUAACAGUUAUAAAACCUCUCUUGUUUGGUGAUAAGGGAUAUAAGAAGAUUCUUAAAUAUGGCAAUUUCAAUUUUCCAAAGCAUGAGCACGAAGUAUGUUCAUUUUAUUCAUGUGUUUUAUACUUUGCACAACACUGCGAUCCAAAUGAGGAGAGGCCAUCCCAGUGGAACAGAAGGGCUGGUCUGUGUGUGUGGGUCUGGGGAGCAAGCGUGAAUAAGAGUGAUGAAGAAGCAAGUGCAGAAGAGUUAAGACUAAAGGAAUAAAACCUCAAAUCUUAGACGCUUCUAUGAUUGAAGUCAUCACAAAAUUUUGAAGACACGAUGAGAAUUAUUUCUUGAACAACACAGAGCAGAGAUGUUGAUGUUCAUCAAUGAUGAAGAGCAUGAACUUGAUUGAGAGAACUGUAAGGGUUCCUUUGAAGACUCUCCUUGCAAUAUCAGAUUAAUGUCCCAAUGUGAAUAAUAUAUUGAUUAUGUAUUACUGAGACACAGAAGAAUAACUGAUCCUCAAUUACUUUAAAUACAUCUUUGGAAGUAGAUACUGAAUUUAAUGAAGAGUCUUUUAAAAACUACUGCACUCUUGUAAAACUGUCCUGGGUAGGUGAGUGUGGGGGUUUUAAAGAGAGAAGAAGCAAUGCUUUACUAAGGAACAGCUAAAUUGCCAUGGAUAGUACAGUGCCCCAAAUGGAAAAAGCUUUUUAAACUUAUAAAACAACAUCUUCUCCUCAUAAGAAACACUAAAAAAGUUAUUUUUAAAGUACAGAAGUGUGCCUAUCACAUUGGUGGUGCUCAGUAAAUACAUUUUUUACUUUUUUAGUUUUUUUUAUAUUUGAGAGGGAGAGAGAGAGAGACAGAGUGCCAACAGCGGACGGGCAGAGAGAUGGAGACAGAAUUUGAAGCAGACUCCAGGCUCUGAGCUAUCAGCACAGAGCUUGACGCGGGGCUCGAAAUCUCAAGCGGUGAGAUCAUGAGCUCAGCUGAAGUAGGACGCUUAACUGACUGAGCCUCUCAGGCGCCCUGGUACUCAGUAAAUAUUUAAUGAAAUACAUUUGCUUUGUGACAAAAAAUAAAAAAGAUUAAUUAUUUGCAUAA